Triticum aestivum (bread wheat) is the source of this 110-nucleotide non-coding RNA. NCBI's taxonomy places the organism in Eukaryota, Viridiplantae, Streptophyta, Magnoliopsida, Poales, Poaceae. The record is from Rfam.
CAAGUAUUCCCUCCGUCAGAAAACACUUGUCAUCAAAAUGAAUAAAAAGGUAGAUACAUCCCAUUUUAUUCAUUUUGAUGACAAGUAUUUCCGGACGGAGGGAGUAGUAA